This 497-nucleotide ribosomal RNA is filed under the name uncultured bacterium. RNAcentral describes it as "partial 16S ribosomal RNA". It matches the Rfam family "Bacterial small subunit ribosomal RNA", at positions 28 to 507 of the family's 1533-position model. The record is from RNAcentral.
GAUGAACGCUGGCGGCGUGCCUAAUACAUGCAAGUCGAGCGAACGGACGAGAAGCUUGCUUCUCUGAUGUUAGCGGCGGACGGGUGAGUAACACGUGGAUAGCCUACCUAUAAGACUGGGACAACUUCGGGAAACCGGAGCUAAUACCGGAUAAUAUUUUGAACCGCAUGGUUCAAAAGUGAAAGACGGUCUUGCUGUCACUUAUAGAUGGAUCCGCGCUGCAUUAGCUAGUUGGUAAGGUAACGGCUUACCAAGGCAACGAUGCAUAGCCGACCUGAGAGGGUGAUCGGCCACACUGGAACUGAGACACGGUCCAGACUCCUACGGGAGGCAGCAGUAGGGAAUCUUCCGCAAUGGGCGAAAGCCUGACGGAGCAACGCCGCGUGAGUGAUGAAGGUCUUCGGAUCGUAAAACUCUGUUAUUAGGGAAGAACAUAUGUGUAAGUAACUGUGCACAUCUUGACGGUACCUAAUCAGAAAGCCACGGCUAACUACGUG